AGUGAACGCUGGCGGUAGGCCUAACACAUGCAAGUCGAACGGCAGCACAGUAAGAGCUUGCUCUUACGGGUGGCGAGUGGCGGACGGGUGAGGGAUACAUCGGAAUCUACUUUUUCGUGGGGGAUAACGUAGGGAAACUUACGCUAAUACCGCAUACGACCUACGGGUGAAAGCAGGGGAUCUUCGGACCUUGCGCGAUUGAAUGAGCCGAUGUCGGAUUAGCUAGUUGGCGGGGUAAAGGCCCACCAAGGCGACGAUCCGUAGCUGGUCUGAGAGGAUGAUCAGCCACACUGGAACUGAGGCACGGUCCAGACUCCUACGGGAGGCAGCAGUGGGGAAUAUUGGACAAUGGGCGCAAGCCUGAUCCAGCCAUACCGCGUGGGUGAAGAAGGCCUUCGGGUUGUAAAGCCCUUUUGUUGGGAAAGAAAAGCAGCAGGUUAAUACCCCGCUGUUCUGACGGUACCCAAAGAAUAAGCACCGGCUAACUUCGUG
This 492-nucleotide ribosomal RNA is filed under the name uncultured bacterium. RNAcentral's name for it is "partial 16S ribosomal RNA". It matches the Rfam family "Bacterial small subunit ribosomal RNA", at positions 29 to 507 of the family's 1533-position model. The record is from RNAcentral.